RNAcentral lists this ribosomal RNA (844 nucleotides) under Engystomops petersi (Peters' dwarf frog). Its description in RNAcentral is "partial large subunit ribosomal RNA". It matches the Rfam family "Bacterial large subunit ribosomal RNA", at positions 1428 to 2575 of the family's 2925-position model. The record is from RNAcentral. Lineage: Eukaryota; Metazoa; Chordata; Amphibia; Anura; Leptodactylidae.
CUUCCAUAAUUUUUUAAUACUAUUAUUUACAAUGAACCCUUUAUUUUUACUGAAUAUUUCUAUAAAGUUAUAGAACCUUUUAUGUUGAAACUAGUAACAAGAAGUUAAACUUCUCCUCAAUAUAAGUAUAAGUCGACUAGGAUAAACCAUCGACAAUUAACGCUUAAAUUAAAUGUAUUAACUCCACAAGAAAAACUUACAUUACCCCACGUUAAUCUUACACGAGAACAUUUAAGGAAAGAUUUAAAAAAAAGGAAGGAACUCGGCAAACAUUAACCCCGCCUGUUUACCAAAAACAUCGCCUUCUGAUAUAUUAUAGAAGGUCCAGCCUGCCCAGUGAAUUAAUUUAACGGCCGCGGUAUCCUAACCGUGCGAAGGUAGCGUAAUCACUUGUUCUUUAAAUGAGGACUAGUAUGAAUGGCACCACGAAGGUUAUACUGUCUCCCUUUUUUGAUCAGUUAAACUAAUCUUCACGUGAAGAAGCGUGAAUAAACAUAUAAGACGAGAAGACCCUAUGGAGCUUAAAAUUACACAACAAUUGUUAAAAAAAAUCCUAAAUUUUAUAAAUAAUUUUUUACUAAACACCAUGAUUGCUAAUUUUUGGUUGGGGUGACCGCGGAGUAAAAAUUAACCUCCACAAUGAAAGAAAUCAAUAUUCUAAACUAAGAGCUACAACUCAAAGUAUUAAUAUUUUAACAUUCUUUGAUCCAAUAUUUGAUCAACGAACAAAGUUACCCUAGGGAUAACAGCGCAAUCUACUUUGAGAGCUCCUAUCGACAAGUAGGUUUACGACCUCGAUGUUGGAUCAGGGUAUCCUAGUGGUGCAGCCGCUACUAAUGGUUCG